Girardinichthys multiradiatus is the source of this 859-nucleotide long non-coding RNA. RefSeq lists it as uncharacterized. The record is from RefSeq and is a predicted model, not a curated record. The transcript has 3 exons. NCBI's taxonomy places the organism in Eukaryota, Metazoa, Chordata, Actinopteri, Cyprinodontiformes, Goodeidae.
CCUGAUUUUUCCUCCAUCAGAAAGCAGAACAAAGUAGAGAUGAAGCCAUUUCAAGACUUUUGGAUGAGGCCAGAUCUCUGACAAACAAGGAGCAACUGGAAAUAUUCAAGCAGAAUCUUCAGAAAGCCGUGGAUGAAGCAUUCAUACUGAAGACUGAAGACAAGCUUGGCAUGGCAAAUGUCUUAACGCCGUUCAGUGACACGUUGCUCAAACAUUGGCUUCAGCUACAAUCAUUGAAGGAAAUGUCAAAAUUUGACCCAUUAGUGACGCAACUGCUGCAUUUAACAGAAAGCCUCAUUGGAAAAGUCCUUGCAUACAUUCUCCAAAAGGAAAAGGUGUAUGCUGGGCAUGCAGGAGACACUGAAAGUAACCUGAACGGGAGGUCAAAUGCUCAAAGGGAUCUUCAUACUGAACUGUGAUAGUUUCUUCUCCAUAACUUUACUACAAUAUUGUGUUCUGCAGCUUUUUUCCAGAUUUAUUUUAAUUUUAAUGUAAUUUAGAAAGACUAACAGUGGAAUAAGAUCAACUUGUUUUAUGCUACGGAAAGCUAAAAUAAUAAUAUAUGUUUAACUUUUCUGAUAUUCUGUUUUGCAAUGUCAAACAAAUGAAACAUAACUGUGUCAUGAAUUCAAAAAUGACUUUUUUCUCUAUGCUGCUUUUCUUCAUUCCUCAGUGAUUUAGAGAACUGCAUCCUCCUUUCUGUAGAAAUGCAGGGAUUUGAUGAAGCUCAUAAACUUGCUCCUCCUUAUGCUGCUAGUUGAGCUUGUCAUGUUUUCCUCUGUACUUAUGAGUCUACAAUCAGUGAUAUUUCUGCACAGAAGUGCUCAGUAAUGUGAACUUUCAGAUUGCUCAAUUACAA